GUGCCAGCCGCGGCGGUAAUACGUAGGGCGCAAGCGUUGUCCGGAAUUAUUGGGCGUAAAGAGCUCGUAGGCGGUUUGUCGCGUCUGCUGUGAAAACCCGAGGCUCAACCUCGGGCCUGCAGUGGGUACGGGCAAACUAGAGUGUGGUAGGGGAGACUGGAAUUCCUGGUGUAGCGGUGGAAUGCGCAGAUAUCAGGAGGAACACC
RNAcentral lists this ribosomal RNA (206 nucleotides) under uncultured Demequina sp. Its description in RNAcentral is "partial 16S ribosomal RNA". It matches the Rfam family "Bacterial small subunit ribosomal RNA", at positions 505 to 710 of the family's 1533-position model. Lineage: Bacteria; Bacillati; Actinomycetota; Actinomycetes; Micrococcales; Demequinaceae. The record is from RNAcentral.